RNAcentral lists this ribosomal RNA (36 nucleotides) under Pholiota squarrosa. Its description in RNAcentral is "partial 28S ribosomal RNA". The record is from RNAcentral. Lineage: Eukaryota; Fungi; Basidiomycota; Agaricomycetes; Agaricales; Strophariaceae.
UUAGCACCGCUUCUAACUGUCUGUUAACUUGGACAA